This 497-nucleotide ribosomal RNA is filed under the name uncultured bacterium. Its description in RNAcentral is "partial 16S ribosomal RNA". It matches the Rfam family "Bacterial small subunit ribosomal RNA", at positions 28 to 507 of the family's 1533-position model. The record is from RNAcentral.
GAUGAACGCUGGCGGCGUGCCUAAUACAUGCAAGUCGAGCGAACAGAGGAGGAGCUUUCUCCUCUUACGUUAGCGGCGGACGGGUGAGUAACACGUGUAUAACCUACCUAUAAGACUGGGAUAACUUCCGGAAAACGGAGGUAAUACCGGAUAAUAGAUUCAACCGCAUAGUUGAAUAGUUAAAGACGUUUUGGCUGCCACUGAUAGAUGGAUCCGCACCGCAUUAGCUAGUUGGUAAGGUAACGGCUUACCAAGGCAACGAUCCGUAGCCGACCUGAGAGGGUGAUCAGCCACACUGGAACUGAGACACGGUCCAGACUCCUACGGGAGGCAGCAGUAGGGAAUAUUGCACAAAGGGCGAAAGCCUGAUGGAGCCACGCCGCGUGUAUGAUGAAGGUCUUCGGAUCGUAAAACUCUGUUAUCAGGGAAGAAGGAAGGUGAAAUAAAAUCUGCACGUAUUGACGGUACCCGAUGAGAAAGCAACGGCUAACUCCGUG